Molecule: ribosomal RNA, 31 nt
Filed under: Solanum raphanifolium
Lineage: Eukaryota; Viridiplantae; Streptophyta; Magnoliopsida; Solanales; Solanaceae
Description: partial 18S ribosomal RNA
Source: RNAcentral
UACCUGGUUGAUCCUGCCAGUAGUCAUAUAC